GCAGGCGAAGCUCCUCCCUUCUGAGCAGAGAAUGGACAAAGAAUGACUUGUGAGCCCCCUAGAACAGCCCAGGGCCUGGCCUUGUCAAAAAAGGACCGUAGCCUUCUCCGGCCGAGAACCGGCUGAAGGCUGCUUUCUGUGCUCAGCCCGCGCGGCGGCUCCCGAAGACAGUGACCCUAGGUUAGCUAAGCCCACAGCGUGCGGAAGGCGGGCCCUUGGACAGGCCUGGCCAAUCGGAAGCCGAGUCUGCGCCAGCGCGAAGUCGGUGUCUUCCUGCGUGCUGCUGGGGCACGGGUGUGGCUCGGGACGUGGUGCCUUGCUGUUUGUUCUCAGGUGGAGCACGCUGCGGUUCGCUACCGGAAGCUGUGUGUGUCUUUUAAAGCAUUGUAUACACACACACACACACACACACACACACACACACACACACACACACACGCCAAUUGAUCACAAGAUGCCUUAGUGUCAUGAGGGCACUGGUGGUGCAGGUGGCCAGGAAGACCCGUCUCAGUUUUGACCUUUACCAACAGUGAUUUGCUUUGUCUCCUGACACUUGGAUGUGAGCCAUUUAUUUGACCCGCAAAUUUUCACAGGGGCGGGGAUUAGAAGUGACAUCAUUGCCAUGGGGUUUCUUUUGGUGGGUGAUAGAUGUACAACUCCAUGUAUAUACUAAAACCAUUGAAUUGUGCGCCUUAGUGGACUGUAUGGUAUGUGAAUUAUAGCACAAUAAAGUAGGUGUGAGAAUGGAAAGGAAACCGCUGAUGUCUUGUUCACUGUUAAAUUCCCAGUGGUGGCCGCACAGCUGGCAUGUAUAAGGCACAAAAUCAGUACUUGAAUUUAAAGAGAGGAAAGAGAGAAAGACUAUCUUCAACUAUUAGUAGAAACCUUACAUUUACUGAGAUGGGAUAGGAAAUGUUUAGAAUUUCCAAGUUAGAAAGUUUUAUAAAAGAAAAUACAUAGAAACCCCCAUGGGGUGCCCCAUAGGUAUCCCAGCUUCCGUGACAGUACCAGAUAUGUGUAUCAGAAUGACUUCUUCAUUAAUAACUGUUGAUGUGGUUCUCGAUCUAAAUUCUGGCUAGUAGAAACCUUCACAUAAGCUUGUCAGUGUUAAAUUCAACCUAAGUUCAAAUUAAGUGGGAAUGAGCUUUGACCCUGUAUUUUGUGCCUUGAAGAGCCCCAAGAGCAGCUCAAAAUCCUGUGGGUCCAAAAAAGGUGAAUAAGCUAUUUAGUUGGGAAGCUUUAAAAGCAUCUCGUACAAGUGGGUGAUGGGGGGAAGACAGGUAGAUCUCUGCAAGUUCGAGGCCAGCCUGGUCUAAAUAGUGAAUUCCAGGACAGCCAGAGAUUCAUAAUAGAGAGAUGCUACC
This 1364-nucleotide long non-coding RNA is filed under the name Mus musculus (house mouse). RNAcentral describes it as "long non-coding RNA chr7:80947585-80948949". Lineage: Eukaryota; Metazoa; Chordata; Mammalia; Rodentia; Muridae. The record is from RNAcentral.